UGAGGUCAGUGCGGUGGAGUUGCAGGAGCUGCGCGUGCGGAGGAGCUAUGGAGCUGACCCCGGGAGCCAGGAGCAUGAGGACCUGGAGUCUGUGUCAGAUUUGUACCUCCGGGUCAGAUUCUCGUCCUUAUGAAAUAGUCAAACAGCCUCGCCAUGCACCAGAAGAAUAUAAACCAAAGCAGGGGGAGAUUGAUCUUGGUACUACCUACAAAUGGCAUCUUAAUUCUUGUAAAGUGCAGCGUGUGGCAAUAGCUCGGCCUUUGGAGAGACAAGUUAAAAAAGGGAAGUUGGAUACUGUCCCGACCUAUAAAGAUUUCAAGGCAUCUGCAUAGUGUACCCUGAGUCAAGUUUUGGUUGGCAGUGUCAAGAUGGCUGCACUGCUCCUCGCUGUGUUCAAGUUAGAAAGAGGCAUUGUGGUGUGACAAGUAAAGGCUCUGUGGCUUGGGAAUCAAAGCACCUGUGUUCAAGUUUCAAUGACACCAGUUUCUACUUGUGCCAUCCUAGGGGUAUGUGUUAGCAGCUCUGAAACUACAUGUAUAAUAAGGUCAAACCAAGAAAAUAUAUUGCAGAUAAUGAAAGCCAGGCUUCUCCCUGUCAGAGAAAGAAGUUGACAAACAAGAAAAAGUUCUCUGAGAGCAAGGACAAGAUGCCAUUCCCCCAGGAUGCCUGGAUCAGUCAGGGUCACAAGCCUGUCCAGAGCGAUUGUCUCCUUUUCACAGACUAAACGUAAGGGUCCAUAAAAAUGCCAUUAGAGCCAACAUCUUAACAACUACUGGCCAGAGCUUCUAAAAUGUAAAUGCCUUAUAAGCCUGUUGCAACCCUACAACUGAGAGAAGUCAUC
This is a non-coding RNA of Kogia breviceps (pygmy sperm whale), 841 nucleotides long. The record is from RefSeq and is a predicted model, not a curated record. Lineage: Eukaryota; Metazoa; Chordata; Mammalia; Artiodactyla; Physeteridae.